UACGUAGGGGGCAAGCGUUGUCCGGAAUCAUUGGGCGUAAAGCGCGCGUAGGCGGCCAGAUAAGUCCGGUGUGAAAGUCACAGGCUCAACCUGUGAAUGCCGCUGGAAACUGUCUGGCUUGAGUCCGGAAGGGGCGAGUGGAAUUCCCAGUGUAGAGGUGAAAUUCGUAGAUAUUGGGAAGAACACCGGUGGCGAAGGCGGCCAUCUGGACCGCAACUGACGCUGAGGCGCGGAAAGCGUGGGGAUCAAACAGGG
This 255-nucleotide ribosomal RNA is filed under the name uncultured bacterium. RNAcentral describes it as "partial 16S ribosomal RNA". It matches the Rfam family "Bacterial small subunit ribosomal RNA", at positions 524 to 777 of the family's 1533-position model. The record is from RNAcentral.